UAGGGAAUCUUCCACAAUGGACGCAAGUCUGAUGGAGCAACGGCCGCGUGAGUGAAGAAGGUUUUCGGACCGUAAAGCUCUGUUGUUGGUGAAGAAGGAUAGAGGUAGUAACUGGCCUUUAUUUGACGGUAAUCAACCAGAAAGUCACGGCUAACUACGUGCCAACAGCCGCGGUAAUACGUAGGUGGCAAGCGUUGUCCGGAUUUAUUGGGCGUAAAGCGAGCGCAGGCGGAAGAAUAAGUCUGAUGUGAAAGCCCUCGGCUUAACCGAGGAAUUGCAUCGGAAACUGUUUUCUUGAGUGCAGAAGAGGAGAGUAGAACUCCAUGUGUAGCGGUGGAAUGCGUAGAUAUAUGGAAGAAUACCAGUGGCGAAGGCGGCUCUCUGGUCUGCAACUGACGCUGAGGCUCGAAAGCAUGGGUAGCGAACAGGAUUAGAUACCCUGGUAGUCCAUGCCGUAAACGAUGAGUGCUAAGUGUUGGGAGGCUUCCGCCUCUCAGUGCUGCAGCUAACGCAUUAAGCACUCCGCCUGGGGGAGUACGACCGCAAGGUUGAAAC
RNAcentral lists this ribosomal RNA (555 nucleotides) under uncultured bacterium. Its description in RNAcentral is "partial 16S ribosomal RNA". It matches the Rfam family "Bacterial small subunit ribosomal RNA", at positions 355 to 900 of the family's 1533-position model. The record is from RNAcentral.